Molecule: non-coding RNA, 619 nt
Organism: Podarcis muralis (Common wall lizard)
Lineage: Eukaryota; Metazoa; Chordata; Lepidosauria; Squamata; Lacertidae
Source: RefSeq, a predicted model, not a curated record
UGAGCUGCACUGAGCGUUUGGUUUACGCAGAAAGGGGGCCCUCGCGCCUCGGAAGAUGCGCGGUGCUGUCUUUUGCGCACGCGCGCUACUGGGGGAAAAAAUCCGUUAACUAGUGCGCGCAGUAACUCGAGCAUGCGCCAUUCUUCCAGCCGGGGCAGCUAAAGCGCCUUAUAUCGGCUUGUUUGCGCCGGUAGCGUCGCAGGGGCUGAAGGCAGGCACUCUUAACUGAGAUUCCUGCAUUGCAGGGGUUGGACUAGAUGACCCUCAGAUCCCUUCCAGCUCUAUGAUUCUACACGCCCCUCCAGCAGUUCCCAUGGCUUCGUCCAGCUUCACAUCUUUCCCUCUUGAAGGGUUGUUGCCCUGUUCAAGACGAAGCAAGAAGUAUUCAUAUGGUAAAUAUAAACACCCCAGAUUGAUCAGACUUUCCCCUUGGCAGGGUGCCAUUGAGACUCCCAGUGUGUGUUUAUGUGUGGAGGAGGUGCCAGAAAGGGUCUUUUGACUCCUGUGAAAUAAAGCCUAGUUUUGCCCCUGCCCUUGGGCAUUUGGGGCUUUUCUAAGCUUCAGCAGUCAGAAUGCUACUAGCCUAGAGAUGGAAGGAAGAAGUACCAACAAAAGAAGA